GCCAUCGUGGCGCAAUGGUAGCGCAUCACCUUCCUAUUCGGUCCGCAAGGGCAUAGGGAGCGUCAGGUGGGGGUUGCGGGUUCGAUCCCCGUCGGUGGUA
This is a non-coding RNA of Pilatotrama ljubarskyi, 100 nucleotides long. Lineage: Eukaryota; Fungi; Basidiomycota; Agaricomycetes; Polyporales; Polyporaceae. The record is from the annotation of a GenBank genome assembly.